UGGAGCAUGUGGUUUAAUUCGAAGCAACGCGAAGAACCUUACCUAGGCUUGACAUCCCUUUGUAAAUUCCUUAAUCGGGAACCUCCCUUCGGGACAAAGGUGACAGGUGGUGCAUGGUUGUCGUCAGCCCGUGUCGUGAGAUGUUGGGUUAAGUCCCGCAACGAGCGCAACCCUCGCCUUUAGUUGCCAGCAUUCAGUUGGGCACUCUAAGAGGGACUGCCGGUGUCAAACCGGAGGAAGGUGGGAUGACGUCAAGUCCUCAUGGCCUUUAUGUCUAGGGCUACACACGUACUACAAUGGCCGGUACAAAGGGCAGCCACUCAGCGAUGAGGCGCUAAUCCCAUAAAGCCGGUCUCAGUCCGGAUCGCAGUCUGCAACUCGACUGCGUGAAGUUGGAAUCGCUAGUAAUCGUAGAUCAGCAUGCUACGGUGAAUACGUUCCCGGGCCUU
This 449-nucleotide ribosomal RNA is filed under the name uncultured Desulfovibrio sp. RNAcentral's name for it is "bacterial SSU rRNA". It matches the Rfam family "Bacterial small subunit ribosomal RNA", at positions 933 to 1382 of the family's 1533-position model. The record is from RNAcentral. Lineage: Bacteria; Pseudomonadati; Thermodesulfobacteriota; Desulfovibrionia; Desulfovibrionales; Desulfovibrionaceae.